Non-coding RNA from Schistosoma mansoni, 46 nucleotides. The record is from Rfam. Lineage: Eukaryota; Metazoa; Platyhelminthes; Trematoda; Strigeidida; Schistosomatidae.
GCACUGCUCAGGAGUCCCACAACAGGACGAAACGGCCGUCCAGUGU